RNAcentral lists this small RNA (84 nucleotides) under Citrobacter koseri. Its description in RNAcentral is "STnc230". It matches the Rfam family "Enterobacterial sRNA STnc230". The record is from RNAcentral. Lineage: Bacteria; Pseudomonadati; Pseudomonadota; Gammaproteobacteria; Enterobacterales; Enterobacteriaceae. RNAcentral also lists the same sequence under 1 other name.
UCAUCACCAUACUGUAUUAGUGAUAAAAAAGUAUAAGGGACAAUAACAAAAGUCUCCCAUCCGUGGGAGACGUUUUGACCAGUU